This 395-nucleotide unclassified non-coding RNA is filed under the name soil metagenome. RNAcentral describes it as "partial contains 5.8S ribosomal RNA, internal transcribed spacer 2, and large subunit ribosomal RNA". The stretch from base 1 to 120 matches the Rfam family "5.8S ribosomal RNA", at positions 35 to 154 of the family's 154-position model. The record is from RNAcentral.
GAUGAAGAACGUAGCGAAAUGCGAUAAGUAAUAUGAAUUGCAGAAUUCAGUGAAUCAUCGAAUCUUUGAACGCACCUUGCGCCUUUUGGUAUUCCGAAAGGCACACCUGUUUGAGCGUCAUGAAUACCUCAAUCUCCAUCUUUUCUUCGGAUUGAUGGGUGACUUGGAUGUUGAGCCCUGCUGGUAUGCUAUAUCAGCUGGCUUUAAACUUAUUAGCCGGCUCUGUACUGGAUCGGUUUGACUCGACGUGAUAAUAUUAUCGUUGAGGAUGCAUGUCUCAUGCAGCCGGAAAGUAUCAAAGCAGCUUCUAGCUUGCCUUUAGUGCACUUUUACAUUUUAGACCUCAGAUCAGGUGGGACUACCCGCUGAACUUAAGCAUAUCAAUAAGCGGAGGA